ACCUAAUAGAUACCCCCGGUAGUCCACGCCCUAAACGAUGCGAACUGGAUGUUGGGUACAUUACGGUACUCAGUGUCGAAAGCUAAACGCGUUAAGUUCGCCGCCUGGGGAGUACGGUCGCAAGACUGGAACUCAAAGGAAUUGACGGGGGUCCCGCACAAGCGGUGGAGUAUGUGGUUUAAUUCGAUGCAACGCGAAGAACCUUACCUGGCCUUGACAUCUGUCGAAUCCUGCAGAGAUGCGGGUAGUGCCGCAAGGAACGACAAGACAGGUGCUGCAUGGCUGUCGUCAGCUCGUGUCGUGAGAUGUUGGGUUAA
This 317-nucleotide ribosomal RNA is filed under the name uncultured bacterium. Its description in RNAcentral is "bacterial SSU rRNA". It matches the Rfam family "Bacterial small subunit ribosomal RNA", at positions 771 to 1083 of the family's 1533-position model. The record is from RNAcentral.